Molecule: ribosomal RNA, 450 nt
Filed under: uncultured bacterium
Lineage: Bacteria
Description: bacterial SSU rRNA
Rfam family: Bacterial small subunit ribosomal RNA
Source: RNAcentral
GUGGGGAAUUUUGGACAAUGGGCGCAAGCCUGAUCCAGCAAUGCCGCGUGCAGGAAGAAGGCCUUCGGGUUGUAAACUGCUUUUGUACGGAACGAAACGGUCCGGGUUAAUACCCUGGGCUAAUGACGGUACCGUAAGAAUAAGCACCGGCUAACUACGUGCCAGCAGCCGCGGUAAUACGUAGGGUGCAAGCGUUAAUCGGAAUUACUGGGCGUAAAGCGUGCACAGGCGGUUUUGUAAGACAGGCGUGAAAUCCCCGGGCUCAACCUGGGAAUUGCGCUUGUGACUGCAAGGCUGGAGUGCGGCAGAGGGGGAUGGAAUUCCGCGUGUAGCAGUGAAAUGCGUAGAUAUGCGGAGGAACACCGAUGGCGAAGGCAAUCCCCUGGGCCUGCACUGACGCUCAUGCACGAAAGCGUGGGGAGCAAACAGGAUUAGAUACCCGAGUAGUCC